GCACGUUCUAACCUUAUAUAAGCCUCUUACAAGAUGAGUCAGAGUCAAAACAAUAACAAGUUUUGGUGUACUUAUUAGGGGAAUAGUUUUUAAUUAUAGUAAGAAGUAUAAAGUAUUCCUCAUUCUAAUUUCUACUAUACUCUGACUGCUCAAUUUCGUUUAAAUAACUUUAAAGAGUGCCUAAAACUAUUUACUUAUGAAAGAAGAAAGCAAAAUCCCAGUAUGUCCUGUUUGUUUGAAAAUUUUUUCUUCACAAUCUGUUUUAAAAAGACAUCAUCGCGAAGUACACAAGCAAGAAUGUAAUUAUCCAGUACCUUAUUCAUCAGAAACAUGUUUUACCCAUCUCUGCCUUGAGUCAGACUACUGUGGUGCAGAUGGUAAUGCUUACCGAAGCAGGAAAGAUUUAAUGCACCACCUAGAGACAUUUCAUGGGAUGCACUUUGAAAAACUGUAUUACAUUUUGAAAACAAUGGAAGAUUUUGAAGACUGGAAAUCCAAUAUAGAAAAUGAAACUAAUUCACAUUACCGUUACCACAGCAGAAAUAAAAGUUCAUCUGGAGAAAAAAUAUAUUAUAAAUGUAACUGGAGUAAGUUGGGUCCGACAAAACCGAAUGAUACAAGAAAAAGACGGCUUAAAAGGGGAGGAUCUUGGAAAAUGAACAAUUCAUGUACUAGUUCAAUUUGUGUAAUGAAAGAAAAAGAUAAAAUUACAGUGGAAUGGCAUAAAACUCACUAUGGUCAUGACACCAAUCAUCCUCCAAGACGUAGUCAGAAAAAUAACAAAGGUAAAAGAACAGACUUGGAUGAUAAAGAAUUAGACAAUGAAGAAGGAAAUACAGUUUAUCAAAUAAAAUCAUUGGAUGAUUCCCAAAAAUGCCCCAAAUUAAAGGAACAAAGUGUUACCACCCUUGAAGAGACAGAUGCAGUAACUUUUGAGAUAGUAGAGAACCAAGAUAAACAAGUUAGAACUUCUCUUGAUGUGAUUUUCAAUGACCACAAAUAUUGUUGACAUCUGUAAAAAUAAUGUAAUAUUAUAGUACUGCAAUAAAAACAACAUUUAUUUAUUGAA
Long non-coding RNA from Anthonomus grandis grandis, 1069 nucleotides. RefSeq lists it as uncharacterized. The record is from RefSeq and is a predicted model, not a curated record. Lineage: Eukaryota; Metazoa; Arthropoda; Insecta; Coleoptera; Curculionidae. The transcript is spliced from 3 exons.